CUGAACGCCUCUAAGUCAGAAUCCGUGCUAGAAAC
Molecule: ribosomal RNA, 35 nt
Filed under: Auricularia auricula-judae (jelly ear fungus)
Lineage: Eukaryota; Fungi; Basidiomycota; Agaricomycetes; Auriculariales; Auriculariaceae
Description: partial 28S ribosomal RNA
Source: RNAcentral